Molecule: ribosomal RNA, 302 nt
Filed under: Burkholderia sp.
Lineage: Bacteria; Pseudomonadati; Pseudomonadota; Betaproteobacteria; Burkholderiales; Burkholderiaceae
Description: bacterial SSU rRNA
Rfam family: Bacterial small subunit ribosomal RNA
Source: RNAcentral
CGCAAGAGCACUCUAAGGAGACUGCCGGUGACAAACCGGAGGAAGGUGGGGAUGACGUCAAGUCCUCAUGGCCCUUAUGGGUAGGGCUUCACACGUCAUACAAUGGUCGGAACAGAGGGUUGCCAACCCGCGAGGGGGAGCUAAUCCCAGAAAACCGAUCGUAGUCCGGAUUGCACUCUGCAACUCGAGUGCAUGAAGCUGGAAUCGCUAGUAAUCGCGGAUCAGCAUGCCGCGGUGAAUACGUUCCCGGGUCUUGUACACACCGCCCGUCACACCAUGGGAGUGGGUUUUACCAGAAGUGG